UUUAAUGUCUUACUUUGACAUUUAUUCAUGUGUCCGUUUUUUGUUCAUUCUGUAAUUCAUAUAGUCAUUAACUUCUUCUUUGUUUAUUCAAAAAUUAUUAUUAGGAAACUGAUAUGUAUGUGGAAGACAUUGGAUUAGAAAGAAAAAAAAUGUUAAAACAUUUGUAGAACCUCAAAUGAAGGUACAUUUAUUUUCACUUUGUAACAUUUUUAAAAGGGGGGCAAUGGGACAAAAAGGAGGAACCUGUGGAUGUUCCCAGCCUUCUCUUCUUGCUAACAAAUUUCCCUGCUUUGCCUGCUUGGUUUUCUCCAUUCUUUUUGUUCUGAGGUGAGUCUUGCCUUGACAGACAAGUUCUUUUUGGGCUUUAGGGAUGAGAAUAGGGAGGAAAGGGAGAAAGAACAAAAGUUCAAAAGAUUAAAUUUGGAGGAGGAGGUUAUCUUGACGUGAGAGUGGAAUUUGAAGACAGAUAUAAAGGAGAAGCAGCAGCUGCUGUGUGUGAACCACUAGAUGGGGGAGGCAGAGGGGGAUUUUUAAGAAUAGCUAUGGACUCUGUGCCCUUCAUAGUGUUCAAGAAAAUAAAUGAAGAACUUGAGUCACUUUGAAAUUAUUUUUAGUUGCUGCACUGUCGUGGGGUUUUUUUUAUUUGUUGUUUUAAUCAUGAUGUUGUUCAUAUGGGUUAUUACUUUAUAGUAUCCAGGGCUCUAUUGAAUUGCAAGUGACAGAAAUUAACUCACACUAUUCAGGCAUUAAAUUUGGCUUAUGUGUUGAAAAGUCCUAGGAGAUGAUCUUUGGGAAUAUGAGGACCCAGUGCUCAAGCACCACCAUACUCUCUGUCCCUUUUUCUCUCACCCUUUCUGUCUCUCUCUCCCUUUCUCUCUGUCCAUUUUUCUCUCUCUCUCCAUUUUUCUCUCUCUCUCCCUUUCUCUCUCUCUCCAUUUCUCUCUCUCUUUCUCUCUCCUUUUCUCUCUCUCUCCCUUUUUUCUCUCUCUCUCUUUCUCUCUCUCUCCCCUUCUCCCCCGCUACUUUCCCUCCCUCUCCCUCCCUCCUUCUCUCUCCUUUCUCCCCUCUAUAUUGAUUUCUUUCUCUAGAAGGCUAUGUUGAUGUGGUAGGAAAGUUAACUUGUGUGUGUUACCUAUGAUUCUUACAGACUCAGAAAAGAGAAACUCUCACAUCCAGCAUCCAAAUCAGACUCUGGCAAAAGGGCAUUUAUUCACCCUGCUUGGGUCACUUUUUUACACUUGUGGUGGGGGAUUAGGGAAACUAAGGAAGACAUAAUUUCAGAUGACCACUUCAGUGUUACAUUGGAAUGGAUCCUUCAAUCUAGGUUAAAAGAAACUUUCCAGCUGUAGGCAGAGGAAUAAGUUGUGCUGUAGUUCACAUUGUAUCUCUUGUUAAACAAGUCUCUCUUCUUCACUGAGUUAUUUCCACUACUAUCACCAUAUGGGGUUGAAUUUUAACUUAAAUAUAGAUCUGUAGUGGUCUUUCUAAAUGUCUUGCAAAGGACUAGACUCCAAGGUAGAUUUGAAAUGAAAGCUAUUGGAUAUGCAGAAAAAAGAACAUGGGAAUAGAGCUGCAAACAAAGUCACAAUAAGUGAAGCAAAUAUUCUCCCCUUGGAAAAAUGAUGGACUUAAACUUAAACCUCAUCUAGAAACACUCAAGUCCUUUGCAGACUUCCUAAGAAGGGAAGAUGCUUAGUAGGAGAUAAAUCUUUUGUUAAUGAGACAUGCUCAAAAUAAUUCCCAGUACAAUUACAGACAUUAAAAAGAGAUUGUAGAAUUUCUAAGCUACAGAGGUCGGUAUGACCACUUAGUGCAUUGUGGACUAUAGUUCAGGUGUCAAGUAUCUGUUAAAAACGAGUUGUGGAUUUCUGUGAAACGUUUUUCAUUUCCAAGGAUAAGAGAGUCAGUUAUGGCGGGGGCGGGGGGACAUGUCUGAGUUUAACCAGAUUGGGAGUGCAAAUAGAACCCUGGUAUUAUUUCAUAUGCCUAAAAAAUACGUAUUGGUUCUGAGGUGUUAAAGAGGUCAAGGUCAUAAGCCUUGGUUUGAGGAAGGACAGGUCACUAGGAUGAUGUGCAUAACUGUUGAUGAUCAAAAGUGCCUAAGAAGAUACUUGAAGCUCUAUAAGACUUUGCUCAGACUAUGGAAGAAAGUGGUAUAUCGUAUAGUAAACAUAAUUGAAUAAUCUAUUGUAAGUAAACAAAAUAAAAAACUGUGUACAUACAGUUUACUAUAGUUAUAGUAGACUGAAUGAUUGUUCCUUAUUCCUCCUUGUUCUAGAAUUGUGCGUUUUACAUUUAUGGCCAUUUCCAUGUGACUUUGUGCUUCCUCUAGAGAAAGCAUAGUACUUUCCCAAUCCAUUACGUCAGGCUUGACCAUAGACUUGCUGUAACCUUUGGAACUGGGUUGAAGGACAGUGUUCCUGUUUCAAGCUGAGGCCUUAACAGGCACUGCAAUUCUCUUCAACUUCUAUCAUCCAUUGUGAUAAUACCAUAGCCUAGGUAACCAAUGGCCCAUGGAAAAUUUGAAGAUACAUGAACCCAACUUAAUCCAACUCAGCCUGGAGCCCAGAGCUGGGAACCUGAAGUUGAGUUUUGUAUAAGCAAACUGCAGCAUCUCACAGAUCUGUGAGGGAGGCAUUAAUGCUUGCUGUUUUAAGCUACUAAAUGUUGGGGUGGUUUUUUAUGUAGCAUUAUUGUAGCAAUAGCUGACUGAGAGACUAGUAUUUUUUCCCUCUCCCUGUAAGUGUUUUGAAAUUGAUGGUAUAUCUAACAAUUCAUAGCAUUGUAGGAUGAAAGAAAUUCAGUAAUUACAUGGGUAAUCAUUUAAUUAGAAUUAUGAGAAGUGGUAUGAGAAGGGGCAAAAAACACAAAACACAGAGACGUAACCCAAUCUGAGAGUCAGGAAAGGUUUUUCUGAGGAAGUAACGUUGAAGCUGAGAUCUGGCCUUUGGCUAAACAAGGUUGGAGGAUGGGGAGCAUUCUAUCUGAAGGGAGCAGUUUUUGCAAAGCCCUUGAGGCAAAAAAAGAGCUCACUGUAUACUGAGAAGUAUCCGGAAAGCAGAGAGAAAUCAGGCAAAUGACAGAAGAGAAGUUGAUGAGGCUCAGUUUCACUCUGUGUGAUAGGCUGAACUGUGUCUCCCCAUAGAUUCACAUGUUGAAGCCCUACCUCCUACACCUUGGAAUGUGACUGUUUGGAGAUAAGGCCUGCAGAGAGGUAAUUAAGGUAAAAUGAGGUCAUGUGGGUGAGCCUAAAUCCAAGACUGGUAUCUUUAUAGGAAGAGGAGAUUAGGACACCCAAAGGAAAGACCUUGUGAAGACACAGAGAGAAGACAGCCAUUCAAAAGGAGAAAGGCCUCAGAAGACAUCAGCCCUGCCAACACCUUGAUCUUGGACUUCCAGCUUCCAGAACUAUAAAAAAUCAAUUUGUUGUCUAAGGCACCCAGUCUGUAGUAUUUUGUUAGGGAAGCUCUCAGAAACUAAUAAACACAGUAUGCCCUGGUCUAAGUAUGGUGCCCAUACAUAGUAGAAUGUGAAUUGACCAGAUUUAGAUAUCAGGAAGAUUUCUCUGGCUGCAAUAGAAAUGGGUUGGAAAGGGGGAGCAGGAGGAGGUUGUCACAGUAGUCCAGGGGAACAUGAUGGUGUCUUAGACCAAGGUGAGGCAGUGGAGAUGGAGACAAGUGGAUUGGUUGAAGAUAGAUACAUUCAGUAGAUAAUGUAUCUACCAACCAGGCUUGGUGAUUGAUUAGACAAGGAAGGUGAAGAGGCCAUCAAGAUGACAUUCUGGUUUGUAAAACAGGAAACAUGGAGUAGGACUAGAUUUGGGAAGAGGCUCACCAGUGUGGUUUGGGACAAAUUGUGUUUGAAGCAACUUCCAGUUAUAGGACUAUAGUGGUCUAGAUACCCUGAGUAUUCUCCCACUACAAAUGCUAGAAUGCUAGAUACCAUAAAAUAAAUAAUCUUAAUAGCUGAGUUUGGAAGAAAGAGAAAUCAUCAGGGUUGCCAAAAGGAAGAGAGAACUGAGAACCCAAACAGCUGUUGCAUAAGCUCACAUGGCAGGAGUAUGGCUGGUGUGGACUUGGGAGGUUGUUAUGGUCUCAGAAAUCUAGAGGUUUUCGGCCAGGCGCAGUGGCUCAUGCCUGUAAUCCCAGCACUUUGGGAGGCCAAGGCUGGUGGAUCAUGAGGUCAGGAGAUCAAGACCACCCUGGCUAACAUGGUGAAACCCCGUCUCUACUAAAAAUACAAAAAAAAUUAACUGUGCGUGGUGGCAAGCGCCUGUAGUCCCAGCUACUCAGGAGGCUGAGGCAGGAGAAUGGUGUGAACCCAGGAGGCGGAGUUUGCAGUGAGCCGAGAUCACACCACUGCACUCCAGCCUGGGCUACACAGGCAGACUCCGUCUCAAAAAAAAUAAAAUAAAUAAAUCUAGAGGUUUUCAUUCAUUUUCAAACUCACAGAGACAGAAGACAAGGCCUUGGAAAUUCUGGAGGGAGGUGGGGUGGGGUGUUGAGCCUGAACCUCUUAUGUAAAUCCAGGAUCAUUUAAGGGCUAUCCCUUCAGUGAAUUGGUAAGAUUAAAAUAAUAUAUACACAAGCACAAAGAGAAAACAAGGAAGCUUGUCUAUCUAGGUCUGGGCAGAGAGUGGAAAAUAAGCCUCUCCAGAGAAUUUGUAAUCACAGACAUGUACCUCCUACGAGCUCAGUGUCCAGAUUUCAUGCCCCGAAAAAUCUCAUGUUCAGAUGUCAACAUUUUCCCAGCAGAAGCAAACGGAGAACAAAUCUGGUGUGAUUAAAACAUCAUCCCAGGCCACACAUGAUUCCUCCAGAUGAAGCCUAUUAAAGAUGAGCUCACCAUUCAAAAUUACAAAACACACAGGGAAACAAUCCACCUUGAGAGACUUAGAAAAGAGUAAAAACAGCAGAAUCAUACCCCCAAGGAAUCUGAGAUAAUAGAACUACCAAAGGUGGAUUAUAAGAUACCUAAAGUUUAAAAUGAUUAAAACUAAAGAGAAAUAAAAAGUAUUAAUAAAUAAGAUGCAGAUAGAUUUGAAAAAGAAUCAAUUAGAAAUUCUAGAAAUGUAAAAUAAAGCUUUUGAAGUACAUUAAAUGGUUUUAAGGGCAUAUUAGUUACAGCUUAGAGGAAAUUCAUAAACUAGAAAAUAAAUCUAAGGUUAUUAAGGCAUACAUAUAUAAAGACAUAUAUAUACACACACACUACAUGUACAUAUAAGGCAUCUAGUCUAUCCAAUGUGUAUAUAAAUUUCUUUCUAAAUACAUACAUACACAGAUAUAUACAUAAAGGUUAGAAUAAAGAAAUUUCUGAAUAGGAAUUUCAUAAAGACUCUGUAGAGGGAAUUAGAGAAACUUUGCAUAUCAAAUCAGAUUACCUUUGAAUGAAUAAUAAUAAGAUUGACAAGAGACUUCUUAAUAGCAACAUAAUAGGAAAAAUAAAAUAACAUCUGUAAAAUGUUGAGAGAAAGUAGCUACCAAUCAGCAGUUCUAUAUCUAUAUAUAUUUUAUAUCCUAUGUAUAUGUUAUUCAAGAAUUAGAUCCAAUACAAAUAUUUAUUUCCAGAUAAUAAAUGAGAAGCUAUGAUUCACAGAACUUUGUUGAAAACCAAGUCAGAAUGUUCUUCAAUAGAAAGAAAUUGAAUCCAGAAAAGAAUAAUGUAAAAGAAGCAAUAGUGACAAAAUAAAAUAGCAAAUAUGUAGAUAAAUCUAAGCAAGUAUUUCUGAAUAAAAACAAAAUGGAACAUUUUUUAACUUUACAGUAGUUAUUUCUGAGGGGAGGAAGGCAAAACUGGACAGGUCAACCCUAUGAGUAAUGUUUUAUUUCUUAAGUUGAAGGGUGAAACAGAGGCUAUGAUUCUAUAAGUCUUUAUUUCUUUUUGUCUUAAAUAUACCAUAAGAAAUUUAGAAAUAAAUAAAUGGCUUUUUUUUUAAAGUUCAGUGGAUACAAGGGUCUGAAAGAUAGUAACAUUUAAGACAGGUAGGGAAUAAUCAGACUUUAAGUGUCUUUAUAUUCUUGUAUAGUUUAGAUGAAGGGUAGACAUAUUCAUUAACUCUAAGCCUUACAAAGCUAGGGUAAAAGAACAGAAAUAAAAUAUGUUAUUUCCAAACAAGAAGAAAUUAAGAAAAAAACUUAAUUGGCCCCCAAAUGAACAAGAAAGCAGGAAAACAUAAGGGCAGCAAGUAGAAACACAAAAUAUAAUGGUGAAGAUAAGUCCAAAUACACAAAGCAUUACAAUAAAUUAAACACUCUAAUGUUGCCAGCUAAAACAGAUAUUGAAAGAUUGAAUUUUAAAAAUUCAGGUAAAUGGUGUUUACUAAGGACACAUCCAAACCUUAAGGGCAUAGAAAGAUUGGAAGCAAAAUUCUAGGAAAAGAAAAACCAGCAAGUACUAACUGGAAAAGGAAAGUCUUACAUUAAUAUUAGAAAAAUAGACUUUAAGGCAAAAACCAUUAUUGAAGCAUUGUUAAGAAUAACAGUGGCUAGUGCAUAAUUUGGAAAAGUAUAAGUCACCUGAAAGACAUAGCAAUUCUAAACUUGUAUGCACCAAAUAACAUACAUUCAAAAUAUGUGACACAGAAAUUGAUCAAAUUGUGAGGGAAAAUUUAAAAAUCUACAACCUUAGUGGAAAAUUUUUAACACUCUUCUCUCACUAAUUGGUAGAUCAAGCAGACAAAAUCUUAGGAUAUAGAGGAUUUGAACACACAAAUUUUAAGUUUAAUAUGAUGGAUAUAUAUUGAAUCUUGAACCCAACAGUUUGAGAAUAUGAAAAUUUUCAAGUACACUUGAAGCGUUUACCAAAUUGACCACUACGAUGGUUAAUUUUAGGUGUCAACUUGACCAGAUUAAGGGAUACCCAGACAGCUGGUAAAGCAUUAUUUCUGAGUACGUCUGUGAGGGCAUUUACAGACGUGAUUAGUGUUUGAAUCAGUGGAUUGAGUAGGAAAGAUCUGCCCUUACUCAAUGUGGUGGACACCAUCCAGUCAGCUGAGGGCCCAAAUAGAACAAAAAGGCAGAGGAAAGCUGUAUUAGUUUGUUUUUACGCUGCUGAUAAAGACUAUACCCAAGACUGGGCAAUUUACAAAAGAAAGAGGUUUAAUGGACUUACAGUUCCACGUGGCUGGGGAGGCCUCAUAAUCAUGGUGGAGGAGCAAGCCAUAUCUUACAAGGAUGGCAACAGGCGAAAAGAGAGAGAGCUUGUACAGAGAAACUCCCAUUUUUCAAACCAUCAGAUCUUGUGAGACUUACUAUCAUGAGAACAGCACAGGAAACACCCGCCCCCAUGAUUCAAUUACCUCCCACCAUGUUCCUCCCACAAAAUGUGGAAAUUGUGGGAGUUACAAUUAAGAUGAAAUUUGGGUGGGGACAGAGACAAAUCAUAUCAUCCCACCCCUGGCCCUUCUCAAAUCUCAUGUCCUCACAUUUCAAAACCAAUCAUGCCUUCUCAACAGUUCCCCAAAGUCUUAACUCAUUUCAGCAUUAACUCAAAAGUUCACAGUCCAAAGACUUAUGUGAGACAAGACAAGUCCCUUCUGCCUAUGUGCUUGUAAAAUCAAAAGCAAGUUAAUUACUUCCUAGAUACAAUGAGGGUAAAGGCAUUGGGUAAAUACAGCUGUUCCAAAUGGGAGAAACUGGCUAAAACAAAAGAGCUACAGACCCCAUGCAAGUCCGAUAUCCAGCAGGACAGUCAAAUCUUAAAGCUCCAAAAUUACAUCCUUUGACCCCACAUCUCACAUGCAGGUCACACUGAUGCAGGAGGUGGGUUCCCAGGGUAUUGGACAGCUCUGCCAGGUCCUUUGCAGGGUACAGCCUCCCUCACAGCUGCUUUCACGGCUGGCAUUGAGUGUCUGUGGCUUUUCCAGGUGCACAGUGCAAGCCGUCAGUGGAUCUACCAUUCUGGGGUCUGAAGGAUGGUGGCCCUCUUCUCACAGCUCCACUAGGCAGUGCCCCAGUAGGGUGUCUGCAUGGGGGCUCUGACCCCACAUUUCCCUCUGUACUGCCCUAGCAGAAGUUCUCCAUGAAGGCCCCACCCCUGCAGCAAACUUCUCUCUGGACAUCCAGGCAUUUCUACACAUCCUCUGAAAUCUAGGUGGAGGUUCCCAAUACCCAAUUCUUGACUUCUUGAGCACUAUCAGGUUCAACACCACAUGGAAGCUGCCAAGGCUUGUGGCUUAUACCCUCUGAAGCUGCAGCCUGAGUUCUGUGGGGGCCCCUUUCAGCCAUAGCUGGAGCAGCUGGGACACAGGGCACCAAGUCCCCAGGCUGCACACAGCACAGGGACCCUGGGCCUCACCCAUGAAACCACUUUUUCCUUCUAAGCCUCCAGGCCUGUGAUGGGAGGGGCUGCUGUAAAGACCUCUGAAGUGCUCUAGAGACAUUUUCCCCAUUGUCUUGGUCAUUAAUAUUCAGCUCCUUAUUACUUAUGCAAAUUUCUGCAGCUGGCUUGAAUUUCUCCUCAGAAAAUGAUAUUUUCUUUUCUAUCACAUAGGCUGCAAAUUUUCUGAACUUUUGUGCUCUGCUUCCCUUCUAAAAGUGAAUGCCUUUAACAGCACCCAAGUUGCUUCUCGAAUGCUUUGCUGCUUAGAAAUUUCCUCCACCAGAUACCCUAAAUCGUCUCACUCAAGUUCAAAGUUCCACAAAUCUCUAGGGCAGGGGCAAAAUACCACCAGUCUCUUUGCUAAAAUAUAACAAGAGUCACCUUUGCUCCAGUUUUCAACAAGUUCCUCAUUUCCAUCUGACACCACCUCAGCCCGGACUUUAUUGUACUUAUUGCUAUCAGCGUUUUGGCAAAGCCAUUUAAUAAGUCUUUAGGAAGUUCUAAACUUUCCCACAUUUUCCUGUCUUAGUUUCUGAGUCCUCCAAACUUCCAACCGCUGCCUGUUACCCAGUUUCAAAGUCACUUCAACAUUUUUGGGUAUCUUUUCAGUAGAACCCCACUCCUGGUACCAACUUAUUGUAUAAGUUUGUUUUCUUACUGCUGAUAAAGACAUAUCUGAGACUGAGCAAUUUACAAAAGAAAGAUGUUUAAUGGACUUACAGUUCCAUGUCACUGGGGAGGCCUCAUAAUCAUGGUGGAGGAGCAAGUCACAUCUUACAUGGAUGGCAGCAGGCAAAGAGAGAGUGAGUUUGUGCCAGGAAAAUCCCAUUUUUAAAACUAUUAGAUUUCAUAAGACUUAUUCACUAUCAUGAGAACAGCAUGGGAAAGACCCACCCCCAUGGUUCAAUUACCUCCCACCAGGUUUCUCCUGCAAAACAUGAGAAUUGUGGGAGUUACAAUUCAAGAUGAGACUGGGUGGGGACACAGCCAAACCAUAUCAAAAAGUGAACUCUUUUUCUUUCUCUCUGUUCUGGAGGUAGGAUACCUUUCUUCUGCCCUGGGACACCAGAACUCCAGAUUCUCUAGUCUUUGGACUCCAAGACUUACCUCAGUGGCUACCCCCCGCACCCACCAGGUUCUAAGGUCUUUGGCCUCAGACUGAGAGUUACACCAUUGGCUUCCCUAGUUCUUAGGCUUUUGGACUUGGACCAAGCCAUGCUACUGGCUUUCCUGGUUCUCCAUCUUGCAAUGGCCUAUUGUGGGUUUUCUCAACCUCCAUAAGCACAUAAGCCACUAUCCCUAAUAUGUCCCCUUGCAUAUAUCUAUAUGUCUUUCUGUGUGUGUGUGUGUGUGUGUUUGUGUGUGUGUGUAUUCAUUGGUUCUGUCUCUAUGGAGAACCCUGACUAAUACAAUCACUAAUUGGGCUUUAAAGAAAACCUCAACAAAUAUAAGAGGUGAUCUGAAUAUUAUUAAUUUAGAAAUUAGAAAGUAGAUUUCAACACAAUGUUACUAAAUUAGAAAUAAAAAACAAAAAUCCUCAAUAUAUUUGAAAUGUAAAAUAUAUAUAAAGUAAGUUAUGACUUGAAGAAUUUCAGGAGAUGAAAAUAUCAAAUGGCAAAACUUGAGUCAUAUUCCUUCUACUUCCUGAAAAAUUCAAUCCUGAAGCCAUUAGGUGGGAUAGACCAAGAUAGGAGGAGCUGCAGUGUCCAGAGGUGGUAUCAGAGCCCAUGGACAAUAAGAACAUCACUCUGGGAUGGCAGGCAUCCUCGCAUGGGGAAUCAGCCUUAACAGGGUGAGGAAAUAUUCACACAGGCAGUUGAUGUGUUUGGGGAAGUCAGAGUCCAAACAGGGAGAGGAGGACAUCUGUGUAGGGCAAGGGUUCAUAGUGGGGAUGGAGAUAGAUUGCAUAAAGUGGGGUUGAUUGCAUAAGGAAAUAUCAGAAAAAUUAUGGAAGCUAGCCUUCUCACCAAUAGAGAAGGGAUCUACAUAUAUAGCAAGAGAGAAAACUAGAAUGAACGUGUGAAAUUGCAGGUGUCAGCAUGGACUCAUGGUAUUCAAUAUAUAGAGAUAGACAUAGAAAUUAAUUUAGAUGUAAAUAUGUGGUAUACACACACAUAUACCUAUCUGGGAUAGGACCUGGAAGUAGCAACACUCCAACAAGAGCAUGUACAGCACCCACAUCUUGGCUUUGAGGUACCAUUUUACAUAAAAGGAAAUAGGACUUGGAGAAAUGGCUGAUUCUGGGCCUAGAGGAGAAAAAAAAUUCAAGAAACCCUGGAACUUAUUGUGCCAGAAGCAAGGAAGUAUUUUUAUAAUGAUAAAGAUAUGUCAAAAGGACUUAGAAGCCAACCUAAAAGGGUUCUUACUGACCAAAUUGGCCAUAAUUUGAGUGCCAAAAUUGAUACUGAUAGUAUCAGUAAUAGUAACUUAUGAUAUUAAGUAAAAUAUGAGGCCUUACAAACAUAAAUAAAUGAGAAAAUUAAAAUGUGAUGAGGAGUGAGAUAUUUACAUAGUACUAUGGUUUAAAUGUAUGUGUUCCUCCAAAAUUCAUGUUAGAAACUAAUACUCAGUUUGUAAGUAUUAAGAAGUGAUUAUGUCAUGAGGGCUCUGCCCUCAAGAAUGGAUUAGUGUUCUUAUAAAAGAGGUUGAAGGAAGCCUAGUGAGUUUUUGCCUCUUUUUGCCCUUCUGCCUUCUGCCCUUGAGGACUUAGAAACAAGGUGCCAUUUUGGAAUUACAGAGCAGCUGUCAUCAGACACCAAAUCUGCCACCACCUCAGUCUUAGACUUCCCCGCCUCCGGAACUGGGAGACAUAAAUUUCUGUUGCUUUGAAGUUACCCAGUCUCCAGUGUUUUAGCAGCAUGAACAGACUAAGACACAUAGUUUCAAAGUACCUUCCCCCAAAGGGGGAUAAAGGUAACUUUAUGGUGGAGGAGUCUAGCAGAUAUCUCUUUCAUGAAAUGGUCAAAGUGAGUAUCAGUUACUGAAAGCACUCAUGACCUGGUAAAAUGCAUUGAGAAGAACACAGCAUCACUGCUAUGGUAUUAUAACCUGAAUCUAUUAUAAAGAAACAUCAGACAAACUUAACUGUGGGAAAUUCUAUAAAGUAACUGAACUCAUCCUGAAAAGUAUUGAAGUCAUAAAAGUCAACAAUGGACUGAAGAAUAUUCUAGGCUGAAACAGACUAAAAAGAUAUAUUAGCUAAAUGCAUUGUGUGAUUCUGAACUGGAUCCUUUUAUUUCAAAAAAUAUCAUUGCAUUAAUUGGUGAACCUGGAAUGUGGUCUGUAGACUAAAGAGAAUUGUAUCCAAGUUCCUAUCUGAUUUUAUUGGUUGUUUUGCAGAUAAUAAAUUCUUAUUAGUAGAAAACACACAUGAAAGUGUUUGGGGGCUAAUGAACCAUGGGGUUAAUUUACAAGGAAAAACAAAAUAUUUGUACUAUAUGUACAACUUUUUUGUAAAUUUUUAUUGUUUCAAAAUUUAAAGAAAACACCCAAUAGCAAAAUUUUAUAAUGCAUGAUGUGGUUUAAGUUGUACCAAGAGGUAAAUGUACAGCCUUCACAAUUUAUAAUUAAAAAGAAGAAAGAUGAAAAUUAGAGCUAGAUGAGGUGGCAUGUCCCACUCACUAGAAAGGCUGAGGAGGAUUGCUUGAGCCUGGGCGGGAGUUCCGGGCAGUAGUGCACUAUGAUCACACCUGUGAAUAGCCACUGCACUCCAGCCUAAACAACAUAAUGAGGCCCUGUCUCAAAGAAAGAAAGGAAGGAAGCAAAGUAGUGAAUUAACUGUUCUAGUCAAUAUGUUAGGGAAAAAAUUAUAAACUCUUAAGAAAAGGAAAUUAAAAUGUCAAACAACAAAAUUAAUGAACUAGAAGACAAAGAAACAAGAGAGAGGAUAAGUGAUGACCUUUAUUCACCUUUGGGCAGUAGCUAAGGCUUUCUUCACCUGUGUAAAAAAUGGAUGCCACAGCAGAAAGAGGAAAAAAGAGUCAGUUCUCAGUUUUUUGAAUUUCAAGCCCCUUGGCAUUUGUGUAUUACACGGGAAGGCCCUAAAGAUCUCAAGACAUGACAUUAAUUUCAUGGACAAAAGAAGGAAAGCACAGAGAACAGAGCUUUGAUGUUGGUGGCAUCUCUGUGAAGGGACUUUGUGCCCUGACCCUCUCACCUAAGUUGGGAGAAAUGCCCAUAGGGCAGGAGAAUCUGGCAGCAAAAAACUCUGUGGUCUUAUAUCUUGGGAGGCCAAGGAGGCCUUCAGCCUCACCAGUUCCAAUUCCUCCGUGCUCGCCAUAGCAAAGGAGCAGUAGGAGAGAGGUGAUUAUGUGGGGUGUUCAGGUAACCAGCCUGAGAACGCUUCUGCAUUCCCGACAUCCCAAUGGGUCUCCGAACAAGUCACAUAGCUUCUGUAGGCCAAAAAUGCUGAGCGGGAUUUGGCCUAAGAGGCCUCAUAGUGGGUAUAGUAAGGUUAGGGUUAGGGUGGGUUUAGAUAGGAUGGUAGCAUCUCAGAGACUUGCUUGAAUUGACACUGGGGGACCAGAAUGGGCACAAUAUCUCUGUUGAUGUCAGCAUGAAGAGAUGAUGACUUGUCCCCUUGUUCCUCCAUAAGCUACCUUCAACAGAGUUCUAAAAAUAACCCAAUGGCUCUUUUAUAAGUUAUGAGACGCAUGGAUGGAUGGAUGGAUGAACGGAUGGAUGGACGGAUGGAUGGACAAAUGAAUAAUAAACGGGAAAUCCCUAAAGUACAUCAAUUUAAAAGCAACUAUGUUUCAGGACUUCACCUGGGAAAGCCACCUAGUAGAAAGCCAAACUACCCUCAUUCUCUUGUGCCCAUCUUCACACUGCUUUCCAAGAUAGCAGCAAUGAAGUGUGGGAAAAGAAUAGAUUCUUAUAUCCUUUAUUGUUCUGCAGCUGAAAUAGUCCCAAGGUCAGUCAAUAAGCAAGUGGCUUUGCCAAACGGCACAUUAGAAAAAAAAAAAUCAUUGGGAGCUUCAGAAACUGACAAGUGUUUAAAAAAAGAUGUGUCUUCCAAGUUUGCUUUUUACUGAAGAAAAAUAAAGGGCAUUGGAAUUAUUUUCUGCCCUGUUUGGAAUCUUAUAUUUUUAUCUUGGUCUUUCUUGGUUUUUAUUUGUAUACUUAGGGAGAUCUUAGUGGGAGCAAAUGUGUAAUUCUAAAGCAGUCUACAAAUGUACACUCACAGUGCAUAACCAAACCACAAUUUUAUGCAGAUUUUUUUCUCUGUCUUAGAUUCUGCAGUUCUUAAAGGAAAAUGUGAAUGCAAUGGUGUGUCACAACUGCGAUUAGAGAAGUCCAAGGGAAAAGAGUACAACAUGCUGAUCAACCUUGGCAUUCCCCACAUACAGCAUGAUUAUAUUGUAAUACUGUUUGAUGCAAUUGUAUGUUUGAUCAGCUUCAAGAGAUGAAUAUCACCUCACUUCAAACAAUAUGAUACAGUCUCAUUGUAUGGAAUUAUGGCUGCUGUCAAUCAGCAUAUGGCAUAACCCUUAAAGUGCCAUCUUUGGGGAAUGUCAUAAAAAUGAUUGCAACACUUGCAUUAAUUAGUAAGUUUUUGCACUAAAACCAAGCAAAACCUGUCAAGACAAUGUAUCUUCUAUAUCUCUGUUCAUUUUUGUUAUCAUAAAAUCAUGUAUAUAACCCAUACAUGCAUACACUCAGCUGAUUAGCUGAACUUGUUAGAACAGCCAUGCUAAUAAAAAUAUUAUAAGUGUGAGCCCCUCUGUAUGGAUCAUUAAGCUAUCUUUUCCAUGUUUUGUUUGAUGAUCCCAAAUAUACAUCUGCUUUGAACCAACUAUCUUAUCAUAGUGAGAGAUAGGUGGAAAGUAAGGACAAACAUUAGAUUAUCAUCAGGUCUAUGGUCUCAAAAAAACUCAAAAUUUAAGCUUGACAAAUGACGAAUAAUGGCAUGUGGACAUGUUUACAUGUGGUAAAUAUAAAAUCAGUCUUUGGAAUGUCAUUAAUUUCACAUUGUCAAGGUUCAUGGACACAGCAUUUUGAGGAAAUAAGAAUUGUGAUCUAUUUUUACUUCGGCUAUGAAAUAAUUUCCCUCUUGUUUGAAGAUAUUUAUUAUUUGUUAUUGUCUUGGUCUCAGGUUUUGCCAUCAUCACCUAGUAAUACAUGAUUUUACGACCUUGACCUGAGACUUCACACACUUUCCCAAGGAGACUAAUACCAGAUUCAACCAUGUUUGUUGAUUGUCUAUAUCACUAGAGUAUUAUGAACCUUUUCCCAAGGAAUUCCUCACUCAUCAUGUCUCUUGGCAUCCUUCCUACUUUUCCAGUGUCCUUUACUCCUUUAUGAACUGAGCAAUUAUUGCUGUGAUAGACUUCUAAAAUGGCCCCAAUGUUUUCUGUCUUCUGGUAUUCCUGAUCUUAUGGAAUCCCCUCCCUUUGAAUGAGGACUGGUCCUAGUGACUUCUUUCUACUGAAUAGAAUAUGGCCAGAGUUAUUGGAUGCCACUUCCAAAAUUAGGUUAUAAAAGACUGUGACUUCAGUCUUGCUAGCAGAGUCCCUUUCUCUCUUGCUGGCUUUGAUAAAGUGCAUUUCCAUGUUAGAAAGCCCCACAUGGCAAGAAUCUGAGGGAAGCCCCUGGCCAACAGCCAGCGAGGAACUGAGACCCUCUUUCCAGUCACCUAUGAGGAACAGAAUCCUGCUCAGCUACCACUGAGUAAGCUUGGAAAGGGAUCCUGUCUCAGUUGAACUUUGAUGUGACUGUGCCACCAGCUGAUAUCUGAAUUGCAGCCUUGUAAGAGAUCCUAAAGCAGAGGACCCUGCUAAGCUAUGCCCGGAUUCUAAAGCAGAGAACCCUGCUAAUUUGUGCCCGGAUUCCAAAUCCACAGAGUCUGUGGAGUAAUACAUGUUUGUGGUUUUAAGCCACUAAACUUUGGGUUUAUUUGGGACAACUAACACACCUUCAGUUGUCCCUCGGUAUCAAGGGGAUUGAUUCCAGAACCCAUGCAGAUACCAAAAUCCACUGAUGGUCAAGUCCUUUUGUAUAAUAAAAUGCAGUAGUAUUUGCAUAUAACCAGUGCACAUCUCUAGAAUACUGAUAAUGCCUAAUACAAUGUAAAUGCUGUGGAUAUAGUUGUUACACUGUGUUGGUUUUUAAAAUUUGUAUUUUUAUUGUUGUAUUAUUUUUAUUUACCGAGUAUUUUCUAUCCUUGGCUGGUUGAGUUCACAGAUGUGGAACCCGCAGGUGUGGAGGGCCAACUGCACAGCUUCUUUUGUAGUGACGAGUAAAAUAGUGCAGGGGGGUAGGCAUCAUCACAUUUGAGCCUUCAAAAUAUGGAAGGUUUCAUACUACUGGCAGGUUUUGUGGAAAUGCUGACCAGGUCCACAAAGACUUAUGUGUAGUCUCUAUGACCUUCCAGUAAAGAUCCUACCAUCAUUCAUGGGCAAGAAUAUUGACCAGUGUUUACACUUUGGGUUAGGAUUGUAAAGUGUUGAAGUAUAAAGCUGUCCUUUCUUUUUCCAACGCAAGUUUUGACAUACUGGGACUGUGGAAAUAUCACAUGGUAUGUAUUAAUGUCACCAGUGCUACACAGACACACCUGUCUUGCUUUAUAGAUUCUUUCUCACAUCCUCAUAUUAUGUUGGCAGCUUGUUGAAUUCUAGGCUUUGGGGUAGAAUUUUUGACAAUUCUACUAGAAGCUUGAAAAAAUGAGAGGUAGAUUGUCUUCUGUGAUGAUUUGAAGAAUAGGUAUUACAACAGGGUUAUAUAAUUUGUGAAAUAUUUUAUUAUUUACUCAAUUAUCCACAUUUAUAGAGGCCACCAGUGAUGAAAAGUAUUUACAACAGUCAAUAAUCAAACACUUUUUAUUUUGAGAUUUAAUACAUGUAUUAAAUCUCUGCUGAGUGUUUUUAACCUAAUAUUACGAAUGUACUGUUUCAUUGAUUCAUAGCUCUGCUGGUGUAGAGACAACUCAGUCAGGAGCUGGCUGGCAGAAGGAAGUCAGUUUGGUACCGGACAUGGUCCCUGGGUGGGCCAGGUGUGAUUUAUCAAGAAUUGAUUUAUUUGAAAGUUCCCAAGUACACUAGGAUUUAAAACAAUAAUGAAAAAACUACCUUUUUAUUAGAUUAACAAAUAUUUUUAAAAAGAAUUAUACUCCGUUUAGAUUAUAAGGAAAAUGGCUCAUGCACAGUUGGUGGGAGUGUAAAUUGGCACAACCGUCUUGGAGAGCAAUUUGACAAACUACUUCAACACUGUAAGUCCAUUUCAUGUCUAGGAAUUUAUGCCAAGAAAAUAAAUCUGAACUUGCAAAGAUGUUAAAAGAUGUUUAUGAAAUCACUGUUUAUAAGAAUAAAAAAUUUAUGCAAUCUAAAUAUCUGUCAAUAGAUUUAAAUACAUUAUGAAUUAUACAAAAUAAAGGCUACAAUAACCAGUUAAUGAGAAACAUUUGUGCCAAAGAGUGGUAUCAGCAAUCUAUUAUUAAUUUUUAGUUAGUAUUAACUACACACACACACACACACACACACACACACACACUAUGGCUCCAACCUUGUUUAAAAAAAUGACAACCCUAUGUAAUCAUGGGCAAACUACUGAGAGCAUACACCUACACCAAAUCAUUAAAACUGGUUUUCUCUAACAGAGAAAUUAUUGUGAGAUAUUUGAAUAUUUUGCAGCAAGCAUGUAUUAUUUAUUAGUCAGAAAAUAGCUAUUUUCACUUUGAAAAAAUUCUAGAUAUUAAUUUUUGUCUUUUGUCUUUUGGACACUGAAAAAAGAUUCAACACAUAAUCAUCUGUUUCAUUUUGUCCUCCAGUGGCUCAUCUAUUUUUUAUUUCUUAGAUCAGUUAGCAUUUAUUAAGCACCUAUCAUGUGUCUAGCACUGUGGUUGUCACUAAAGAAACAGAUAAAUGAGACAAUCUCUGACUCAAAUGAAGAAGACGUGAAUUUCACAUGAAAUAAGGUUUACCGAUGCUCUGUUGGAGUAGAUGCAAGAUAAGGUGGGGGUCACAGAAGAGAGUGAUCAAUUUAAAAUUAUGAAACAAUUCAUGAAUAUGUGUGUCAUUUUUGCAGGUAUUCCAUCCACUACAAAAUUACAAAUAUCUUGACACUGAUUUUAUGGCAUAUACUUUUAAUAUCAUCUCCAUAAGGCCCAGAGUCUAGCUGAUGGUGUGCCAAGUAUCCAAAAAAAUACCUUGGCAUUCAAUCAAGAUAGUCAUUGCUGGAGUAGUGCUUUUCGAACUUUUGGAAUUUAAGACUCACAUUCAAAUACUAGAAUAUGCAGUGGUACAUCGGAAUGGAUUAAAAAAUUCGAAGCACACUAAACAAAUGACACACUGAGUGAAGAAAAGAGGUAUGACUGUAAUCCCAGCACUUUGAGGGGCUGAGAUGGAGGGAUCACUUGAGGCCAGGAGUUUGAGACCAGCCUGGGCAACAUAGCCAGACCAUGUCUCUAUUAAACAAAACAAAACAAAAAAAAAAAAAAAAAAAAAAAAGGAAAGAAAAUUAGGUGGAAGAAGAGAAGUAAAAGACAAGGCAACUGAAGAACAGAAGAGAGAAAGGAGCUGACAUUUUGAAUGUGAGUACAAGUGCCUCCGUUUCUUCAUCUAUCACUAUGAAAAUGUCAGGACAUUCUUUGUUAGUAAUGACUACUUGGAAAAAGAGUUCUUUGGGAUGAAUACAGCUAUGUGCAACUUAGCUUGAAUUACAUUCUGCAAUCUGUGAGACCAGUGAGACAUUGUCCAGUUGAAAAGUCUCUAGGCUUAAAUCAAGCUGUACAGGGUCUAUGUAGUCCAAGCUUUCGUUAAAUGACUGUGCAAUCUGGAUCACAUUAUAUGUCCUAAGUGUGUUCCAGUAUCCCUAUUUGUUGAAAAAAGGAGAUGUGAGCUACCCAUCUCACACGCCUAAUGUGAAAGUGUAAGAGACAUUGAGUACAUGAGACAUUUCAGUACAAGUGUUCUGAAAAAUUCAAAACCAAUGCAAAAUUCAGUCUUCAGAACCAAAUAAAGUUCAUUUUUCCCCCACUAAACCAUUAAUGAAUGACUUCAGUUAAUAAAAGGGUGUGACUUGCCAAGGAAUGGAUUAGUAUUCAUUAUAAAAAUUACAUUAUAAUUAAUGCACUCAUUAAUGAUCUACCAAUCAAUAUCAAUUGAAGGUCUAUUAUUUUAAGGAGGAUGGGCAAUUAGCAGUUUGACACCAUGAGAAAGAGAUAACCAGCUGACUGAUAGGUCCCCAUCAAGUUUAAUUUUAAUUUGUUUUAAAAGGAUCUUCUUUAGGAGUGAGUUUAGAUGCACAUCAUUCUUUCUUCUUUCAGAAAACGAAUAUAUAUGUUGUUUAAAAAGCAUAUCAGAAUGACAAAGAAUGCAGUCUGGCAUAUGUAGCAAGGAAUGAGCACAUCUUCUAAAUGGGCUGGAUGGUAUGGUGUAAGUUCUAUUCUCUCGCACAGUAAUAUAACUGGAUUGCUCUUUAAAUUAAGUGAAUUUGUAUGUCCGCUUUCUCUUAAUGGAAUCAGUUUUGAUAUACUCUUUGUUCAUGCUGUUACCGGCUUCAGUCUAAGGUUUCUUUGUAUUAACUUUUUAAAGUUACAUUACAAAGAGGUUUUAAGAUUUCCCAAUAGGCUUUUAUUUAACUGAAGCUUUUGAUCUCAAACCUGCUGGGGCCUAGUGAAAUCCUUACCAAUUCUCCAGUAACUCCUCACUAUUGGAAUUUGAAAAGACCCAUCUGAAGGAUUUAACUCCCUGUAUGGCUUCAGCCACCCUUCAGAUCGUGCUAUUCAAGCAGACAGCGAGGGGUUCUAGUGUACCCUUUGUGAUCGCUAAGCAGCCUAAGGUGUCCUUUGCAGAAGUUGUACUCCUGAGGAAAUAAAAAUCAGGAGGACACAGACCUAUAUACCUUGUUUCCUGCUAUCUUCAGUUAAAGGGGGAUAGCAGGGGGUCUGCUUAACAUCCUUUGCUACCUAAAUACCUUUUGGACAUGGGAACUCUAUAAAAGAACUUUCAUUGCAUCCAUUACCCUACUGCAGUGCAUAACAAAUUAGAUUUAAAAGGCUACUUUUUUUCCCUUACAGCAAUUUCCAUCAUUUUCUUUAAAAUUUCAAUUUAGUGUCUAGUGACAAAAUAUUCUAUAAUGUACUUUAAAACUCUAUAAUGUCAAUUAUGCUAACUGAAUAUCAUUUCCAAAGAAUUAGGCUUAUGUUAUUACAGAAAAAUCUUAGUUUAAAAGAUCAGGUAAAGAGAGAAGUAGAGAACUGAUUCAUGCUCAAAAGGUGUUAAAUAUAAAACUAGAUAAAACAAAUACUGUUUCUGAAAAUCUUUUUAAAAAUACAAAUAUGCAUUAAUUUUCUAUUUAACCCUCAACUCCCAGUUUUAGAACAAUUUUGUAUUUUAAGUUGAAAAAUGUUAAUGCCAAAUAUUAACCUAUUUUUAGAAAGAGUAAAAUAAUUCUAAGAAAAUUCCCAAUUAUAGUAUUUAGAUAUCUUUAUUUCAUUUGAAAACUCCAUCGUGCAGAGAUUUUAGAACAUGUAAACAACAGUAAGCAUGAAAAGCAAAUAAAACUUCAUAAAGAACACAAUAUUUGCUGCUGUGUGUGGGGAGAACAGAUGUAGCUAUGCACCACUUCUCCUGUGUAAACAUUUAUCUUUACCUUUCUAUUAACCUGAAGUAAAGCCUUUUCAUUAUUAAAAAAUUAUUUAAAUUCUAUGUUGAUAAAUAGAAAUCAACUUAUUCCUAUGUUACUUCUUUGUAUCGGAUGUUACUAUCUGGGACAAAGCCUCAAAUUAGCUUUAUAUCACAGAACCAGAAAGAAAUGUGUUUCCAGAAGUUGUAAAAUGUUUGCCAUUUAGUUCCACUGUGAUUCGAGGGCAUAUUCUCUCACACUGUACACGCGCCACAUAUUACUAGACCUCAGAGGUUCAUCCAUCUCAGGGUGGUUUCACCCCUUUGGGCUCUCGUGUAACUACAGAAAACCAGUCUUGAACAAUCUCAAUUCUGAACAUGUGGUAGAGUUGUCAGAGAAUGUUUUCAGUCUGGGUUUGAGGACUAACGUUACCAUACCUUAGAACAUGACAUAAUUGUAUCAUAUCUUGAUUUAUUAAUUUCCAUAAACAUUUGUUACACAUCUUAUUUGUACAUGUGUAGCUGCCUAGUGGAAUGGUAUUUUCUGCGUUUAAUAAUAACUGAUUAUAUGAAGAUAAGGUGAUAUGAAUUCUUUCUCUGGAGAAAUAGGGCUCAAAGACUUGCAGAACUGUGACAAUGGGGGAAAUUAUGCAAAAAAUUUGGAUUUUUAUGGAUAAUAUAAUACAAAUGUUACUUAAGAUAUGUUGUGUUCCAGUAAUACUCUGCUCCUUUGUAAAAACAAACAAACAAACAAACAAACAAAAACUAUGCAUUUUUAAUGUGUGGGCAAAAGGUUUAACAAAGUAUUUCUCAUAAUCCAAAAUUUACCCUCAUCACUCUUAUUCAUAGUAUAAAUAGUUACAAUUUUGGAGAUAGUUAGUCUUGCAAUAUUUAUCAUUUUAAAAAUAUAGAUCACCUUUGAUUAAAAACAUGACACUUUCAAAAAUUUAGCCUCUAGGGAUACUCACAAAAUUGGUAUAGCUGUACUUAGAAGAAUGUUCAUUAGAGCAUUAUGUGUGAGAAUAAAAAAUCAUGGUCAAUCUAAA
Long non-coding RNA from Pan troglodytes (chimpanzee), 20926 nucleotides. RefSeq lists it as uncharacterized. The record is from RefSeq and is a predicted model, not a curated record. NCBI's taxonomy places the organism in Eukaryota, Metazoa, Chordata, Mammalia, Primates, Hominidae. The transcript has 2 exons.